UUUCCGUAGGUGAACCUGCGGAAGGAUCAUUAAAGAGUAAGGGUCUCUGGCCCGAACCUCCAACCCUCUGUUGUUAUAACUACUUCGUUGCUUUGGCGGGACCGCGAAGGUUCUCCCGAGCGCGCCAGUCUCCGGACAGGCGAGCGCCCGCCAGAGUCUAACCAAACUCUUGUUUUAAACCAGUCGUCUGAGUAUAAAAUUUUAAUUAAAUUAAAACUUUCAACAACGGAUCUCUUGGUUCAC
Molecule: unclassified non-coding RNA, 243 nt
Filed under: plant metagenome
Description: partial contains small subunit ribosomal RNA, internal transcribed spacer 1, and 5.8S ribosomal RNA
Source: RNAcentral